This 520-nucleotide ribosomal RNA is filed under the name uncultured bacterium. RNAcentral's name for it is "bacterial SSU rRNA". It matches the Rfam family "Archaeal small subunit ribosomal RNA", at positions 345 to 866 of the family's 1478-position model. The record is from RNAcentral.
AACCUCCGCAAUGUGAGAAAUCGCGACGGGGGGAUCCCAAGUGCCAUUCUUAACGGGAUGGCUUUUCAUUAGUGUAAAGAGCUUUUGGAAUAAGGGCUGGGCAAGACCGGUGCCAGCCGCCGCGGUAACACCGGCAGCUCUAGUGGUAACAAUUUUUAUUGGGCCUAAAGCGUCCGUAGCCGGUUUAAUAGGUCUCUGGUGAAAUCCUGUAGCUUAACUGUGGGAAUUGCUGGAGAUACUAUUAGACUUGAGACCGGGAGAGGUUAGAGGUACUCCCAGGGUAGAGGUGAAAUUCUGUAAUCCUGGGAGGACCGCCUGUUGCGAAGGCGUCUAACUGGAACGGUUCUGAUGGUGAGGGACGAAAGUUAGGGGCGCGAACCGGAUUAGAUACCCGGGUAGUCCUAACUGUAAACGAUGCGGACUUGGUGUUAGGGUGGCUUUGAGCUGCUCCAGUGCCGAAGGGAAGCUGUUAAGUCCGCCGCCUGGGAAGUAGGCCGCAAGACUGAAACUUAAAGGAAUU